GAUCAUGGCUCAGGACGAACGCUGGCGGCGUGCCUAACACAUGCAAGUCGAGCGGGGAUCACUUAGUGAAGUUUUCGGAUGGAUCUGGGUGAUUCUAGCGGCGGACGGGUGAGUAACGCGUGAGCAACCUGCCUAUCACUGGGGAAUAACGCAUCGAAAGGUGUGCUAAUACCGCAUGAGACCACAGAGGGACAUCCCUUAGGGGUCAAAGAUUUAUCGGUGAUAGAUGGGCUCGCGUCUGAUUAGCUAGUUGGUGAGGUAACGGCCCACCAAGGCGACGAUCAGUAGCCGACCUGAGAGGGUGAUCGGCCACAUUGGAACUGAGAAACGGUCCAAACUCCUACGGGAGGCAGCAGUGGGGAAUAUUGGGCAAUGGGCGCAAGCCUGACCCAGCAACGCCGCGUGAAGGAAGAAGUAUUUCGGUAUGUAAAGCUCUAUCAGCAGGGAAGAAAAUGACGGUACCUGACUAAGAAGCCCCGGCUAACUACGUG
Molecule: ribosomal RNA, 491 nt
Filed under: uncultured bacterium
Lineage: Bacteria
Description: bacterial SSU rRNA
Rfam family: Bacterial small subunit ribosomal RNA
Source: RNAcentral